UUGGCAAGCUUCUCCUCUGUCUGGGU
RNAcentral lists this unclassified non-coding RNA (26 nucleotides) under Mus musculus (house mouse). RNAcentral describes it as "oocyte_clustered_small_RNA13024". Lineage: Eukaryota; Metazoa; Chordata; Mammalia; Rodentia; Muridae. The record is from RNAcentral.